CAUAUCAAUAAGCGGAGGAAAAGAAACCAACAGGGAUUGCCCUAGUAACGGCGAGUGAAGCGGCAACAGCUCAAAUUUGAAAUCUGGCCCUCGGGUCCGAGUUGUAAUUUGUAGAGGAUGCUUUUGGUGAGGUACCUUCCGAGUUCCCUGGAACGGGACGCCAUAGAGGGUGAGAGCCCCGUCUGGUUGGAUACCGAGCCUCUGUAAAGCUCCUUCGACGAGUCGAGUAGUUUGGGAAUGCUGCUCUAAAUGGGAGGUAUAUGUCUUCUAAAGCUAAAUACCGGCCAGAGACCGAUAGCGCACAAGUAGAGUGAUCGAAAGAUGAAAAGCACUUUGAAAAGAGAGUUAAAAAGUACGUGAAAUUGUUGAAAGGGAAGCGCUUAUGACCAGACUUGGGCUUGGUUGAUCAUCCUGGGUUCUCCCUGGUGCACUCUUCCAGUUCAGGCCAGCAUCAGUUCGCUGCGGGGGAUAAAAGUUUUGGGAAUGUGGCUCCCUCGGGAGUGUUAUAGCCCAUUUCAUAAUACCCUGCUCCGGACUGAGGUUCGCGCAUCUGCAAGGAUGCUGGCGUAAUGGUCAUCAGCGACCCGUCUUGAAACACGGACCAAGGAGUCGUCUUCGUAUGCGAGUGUUCGGGUGUUAAACCCCUACGCGUAAUGAAAGUGAACGCAGGUGAGAGCUUCGGCGCAUCAUCGACCGAUCCUGAUGUUCUCGGAUGGAUUUGAGUAAGAGCAUACGGGGCCGGACCCGAAAGAAGGUGAACUAUGCCUGUAUAGGGUGAAGCCAGAGGAAACUCUGGUGGAGGCUCGCAGCGGUUCUGACGUGCAAAUCGAUCGUCAAAUAUGGGCAUGGGGGCGAAAGACUAAUCGAACCUUCUAGUAGCUG
RNAcentral lists this ribosomal RNA (882 nucleotides) under Calonectria fujianensis. RNAcentral's name for it is "partial large subunit ribosomal RNA". It matches the Rfam family "Eukaryotic large subunit ribosomal RNA", at positions 39 to 953 of the family's 3401-position model. The record is from RNAcentral. Lineage: Eukaryota; Fungi; Ascomycota; Sordariomycetes; Hypocreales; Nectriaceae.